Drosophila ananassae is the source of this 2651-nucleotide RNA transcript. RefSeq lists it as uncharacterized. The transcript is spliced from 2 exons. The record is from RefSeq and is a predicted model, not a curated record. Lineage: Eukaryota; Metazoa; Arthropoda; Insecta; Diptera; Drosophilidae.
UACAAUAAUAGUAGGCGCCGGUACGUGAUUCAUUGUUUGACAACUUCUCAUUGUUCUCUGCUCAGUUAAUUUUAUGUGACAAACCGAUAUUGUGUUCUUUGAAAAAUUGUGAAAAAUAUUGGAAAAAUUUUAAUUUAAAACCAUCAUAUCAAUCACGUGUAUUGUGGAAAUUAUUUUUCAAAUUCAUUUGUCUUCAGCCAGCAACAAGUGUAUUGUGAUAGUGGCACUUUAUGAGCGGGAAAUUUUCUCACUUUGAUUAAUUACAAAAACAAGCAAUGCCAAGAAAACGCAAAGGGGUUGAUAUGAGCCGCAGUACAAGCAGAGCUCGAAGGUUGCAAAAUAGCAGAUCCGAAAGAACAGAAGAACAAAUCCAGCUACAAAAUACUGAUGCACGUGUCAGAAUGACGCGAUUGCAUCAAGAAGAGCCAGAAGAUACACGAGAUGAACGCAAUGAAGUCAGAAGAUUAGAACAACGACAAUCACGCCGUUUCACAGUCAAUAGACGAAGAACAAAUAACCAACAACGACAACAGGUACAUCGAGCAUUUAUAUCUGAUUCAUUCCUGCGUCUAGCAUUCCAGUAUGAGCCCGAUAUUGAAUAUUAUGCUCAUUCAAAAGUGGUAAUUGGUGCUAUGGACAAGGAAUGUCCGCGUUGUCAUGCUCUGAAAUUCAAAAAUGAGCCAGCUGGGAUGUGUUGCGCGUCAGGAAAAGUGCAACUACCUGAAAUUGAAACACCACCUGAACCAUUGAACGGCUUACUUAACGGCACGGAUCCAGAUUCUAACGUGUUCCUGAAGUCAAUUCUAAGAUUCAAUUCAUGCUUUCAAAUGACAUCGUUCGGAGCAACAGAAAUAGUUCGAAAUACUAAUGCAAAUGGUCAACAAUUCAAUUCUACAUUCAAAAUCAGAGGCCAAGUUUAUCAUAAAAUGGGCUCACUGCUGCCAAUGCCAAACGAACCACAUAAAUUCUUACAAAUUUACUUUAUGGGCGGCGAGGAUUCCGGAAGCGCACUUGCCAAUCGCGUGAAUGCACGUUGUAAUUAUAAUAACCUUGAUUCACUUUAUGCCAGGCGCAUCGUCAGCGAGCUAGAUGCUCUUUUGAACGAGCACAACGAGUUGUUGAAAAUAUUCAAAUCACAUAUGCACCAAUUACAAAGCGAUAAUCACGCUAUCGUCAUUAAUCCUGAUAAAACACCAGCUGGAGAGCAUAUUCGUAGAUUCAAUGCACCCGUUGUUGAUGAUGUUGCUGGAAUCAUGGUUGGCGAUUCUACAGCUGCACGAGAAAUUGUGAUUCGUAGAAGAAAUAAUAAUCUUCAGUUCAUUUCUGACACACAUCGUUCAUAUGACGCUCUCCAAUAUCCGCUAAUAUUCUGGAAGGGACAAGACGGAUAUUGCAUAAACGUAAAACAACGAGAUACCGUAUCAGAUACUUCAUUGAUUAUUAAUUUGAUCAUUAAUCAUUUAACAAAACAAUUAAAUUAUUGAACGUAAUAAAUUUAAAUUAUUUUUUAUGAACAAAUUUUACAGGAGCUGAAACAAACAAGAACGUUAGCUCAAAGGAUUAUUAUGCGUACCGAUUAAUGAUUAGACGUGGCCUGGACAACGUCAUUUUACGAUGUCGUGAGCUUUGUCAACAAUUCAUGGUCGACAUGUACGCGAAGAUUGAGAGCGAACGACUACGAUACUUACGAUAUAAUCAACAAAAGCUGCGCGCGGAAGAGUACAUUCAUUUGCGAGACGCUAUCAACAACAACGCCGACGUCGCCGAAAUUGGUAACCAUGUCAUUUUACCAUCAUCGCACGUAGGCAGUCCACGUCAUAUGCAAGAAUAUAUACAGGAGGCUCUGACUUUCGUGCGCGAAUAUGGACGACCAUGUUUAUUUAUCACGUUCACAUGUAAUCCAAAAUGGCCAGAGAUUACAUCUUUGCUACUGCCUGGCCAAAAUGCAAUACAUCGCCAUGACAUUACAGCACGUGUGUUCAAACAAAAGUUGAAGUCUUUAAUAAGUUUCAUUACUAAAUCACAUGUAUUUGGUCCCACACGUUGCUGGAUGUAUUCGGUUGAGUGGCAAAAGCGAGGAUUACCUCAUGCACACAUUUUGGUUUGGUUCAUCGACAAAAUCCGUCCUGAAGAAAUCGAUAGCAUCAUUUCUGCGGAAAUUCCAGAUCCAUCCACUGACCAACUGCUGUUUGAUAUUGUUACAACAAACAUGAUUCAUGGUCCAUGUGGUACUCUUAAUAGCUCAUCGCCUUGCAUGGCUGAUGGAAAAUGUACUAAAAAUUUCCCUAAAGAUUUUACCAAUGAUACGGUCACAAAUGUCGACGGAUACCCAAUAUAUCGUCGAAGAUAUCCUGAAAAUGGCGGACAAUCAUUUAUUAAAAAUAUCAUCAACACAGACAUUGAUAUUGACAAUCGUUGGGUGGUGCCAUAUUCGCCUCUGCUGAGCAAGACAUAUAAUGCUCAUAUUAAUGUUGAGUUCUGCAGUUCUGUGAAGAGCAUCAAAUACAUUUGCAAUGAAUAAAAACGAUGAAAUAACGCUCUACCAAAUUGGUCGGUACAUUUGGGUACAAACGUUUUCACAAAAGAAGAUUCUGAACGCAACAAAAAAAACAACAGCUGGCAGUGCGAAGUCUGCCGGGUAAGCUAGUGAU